CAUCACUACGCUAGAUGCAUAUCAAUAAGCGGAGGAAAAGAAACUAACAAGGAUUCCCUUAGUAACGGCGAGUGAAGCGGGAAGAGCUCAAAUUUGAAAUCUUCAAGGUUCUACCUUGACGAAUUGUAGUUUAUAGAAGUGUUUUCUGUUAGUGGAGUGGCAGAAGUUCUUUGGAAUAGGACAUCAUAGAGGGUGAGAAUCCCGUAUUUGGUCAUUCCUCCUAGCGUUGUGAUACACUUUCAACGAGUCGGAUUGUUUGGGAAUGCAGUCCAAAAUGGGUGGUAAAUUUCAUCUAAAGCUAAAUAUUGGCGAGAGACCGAUAGCGAACAAGUACCGUGAGGGAAAGAUGAAAAGAACUUUGAAAAGAGAGUUAAACAGUACGUGAAAUUGUCAAAAGGGAAGCGUUUGACACCAGUGUUGUUUUUCCGAAAAUCAAUUACGAAUGUUUUAUUUUGAGAAGUUAUGACUUCAUCGGCUUGCUCUCUUCUUUAUGAAACUUUCUUAAAUGCACUUUUCGGUUAACAAGUCAACAUCAAUUUCUUUUGUUGUAAAAGGGUAUGAGGAAGGUGGCUUACGCUUCGGCGUAAGUGUUUAUAGCCUUUUACCUCUGCAAUCGGAGAGAUUGAGGACAGCAGCGUAGACUCUUCGGGGUUAGAUACACUUGUGCUAAGCUAUAGCCUUGUAUAGACAACUUGUUGACUAUGCUCAGUCAUGUAGCUUACUCGCUUGUGCUAUUUUACCUACGCUUAGGAUGUUGACGCGCGUGUGUGCGUG
This 774-nucleotide ribosomal RNA is filed under the name uncultured Neocallimastigales. RNAcentral describes it as "partial large subunit ribosomal RNA". It matches the Rfam family "Eukaryotic large subunit ribosomal RNA", at positions 20 to 639 of the family's 3401-position model. The record is from RNAcentral. Lineage: Eukaryota; Fungi; Neocallimastigomycota; Neocallimastigomycetes; Neocallimastigales.